This is a small nucleolar RNA of Apodemus sylvaticus (European woodmouse), 143 nucleotides long. RefSeq annotates it as small nucleolar RNA SNORA48. The record is from RefSeq and is a predicted model, not a curated record. The transcript has a single exon. Lineage: Eukaryota; Metazoa; Chordata; Mammalia; Rodentia; Muridae.
CUUCCCAGCAAUGGGUAAAGAGAUACCUUUUUGUUGGUGUUGUUCUUAUAUCAGUCAGGAGCAUAGCAGACAGCAGUCCUUUGUUCAUCAUAGUUUGAUGCCUGGCUUGAUGACCAAAGCUAUUUUAUGUUUACAACACAUUA